This 544-nucleotide ribosomal RNA is filed under the name Haustellum haustellum. Its description in RNAcentral is "partial 12S ribosomal RNA". Lineage: Eukaryota; Metazoa; Mollusca; Gastropoda; Neogastropoda; Muricidae. The record is from RNAcentral.
AACCAAGAAGGCUAAGUUAUACUUUAACGGUAAAAAGACAGUUAAGCUAAAUUAUAAGUUUUAUUAGUAUAGGUAUAAAGGUAGAAUUUGAAUAUGUAUAUAUAAUUUAAUGAAAACUUUAGUGCUGAAGCUGUGACAGCCUAGAGGGAAACUGGGAUUAGAUACCCCACUAUUCUUGGCAAUAAAGAAAUUAAAAUUUACCAGAGUACUACGAACUAAAGAGUUUAAAACUCAAAGGGCUUGGCGGUGUUUUAGACCUCUUAGGGGAACCUGUCUCAUAAUCGACAAUCCACGUUAAACCUAACUUCUUUUUGUACUCAGUAUGUAUACCAUCGUCGUCAGGUAACUUUUAAAAAUUUAGAAGUUAGCUAAAAAAUCAUGUAAAUUUAAACGUCAGAUCAAGGUGCAGUCAAUAAAGAAGUGAAGAUGGGUUACAAUUAUAGAAUCAUAAAUACGAAAUAAUUAAGUGAAUAAAUAAUUAUGAAGGAGGACUUAAAAGUAAACUGAAUUAUAUAAGCAUAUUGAAUUAGGCUCUGAAACGUGC